Molecule: ribosomal RNA, 465 nt
Filed under: uncultured bacterium
Lineage: Bacteria
Description: partial 16S ribosomal RNA
Rfam family: Bacterial small subunit ribosomal RNA
Source: RNAcentral
CUACGGGGGGCAGCAGUGGGGAAUAUUGCACAAUGGGCGCAAGCCUGAUGCAGCCAUGCCGCGUGUAUGAAGAAGGCCUUCGGGUUGUAAAGUACUUUCAGCGGGGAGGAAGGGAGUAAAGUUAAUACCUUUGCUCAUUGACGUUACCCGCAGAAGCAGCACCGAGCUAACUCCGUGCCAGCAGCCGCGGUAAUACGGAGGGUGCAAGCGUUAAUCGGAAUUACUGGGCGUAAAGCGCACGCAGGCGGUUUGUUAAGUCAGAUGUGAAAUCCCCGGGCUCAACCUGGGAACUGCAUCUGAGACUGGCAAGCUGGAGUCUCGUAGAGGGGGGUAGAAUUCCAGGUGUAGCGGUGACAUGCGUAGAGAUCUGGAGGAAUACCGGUGGCGAAGGCGGCCCCCUGGACGAAGACUGACGCUCAGGUGCGAAAGCGUGGGGAGCAAACAGGAUUAGAUACCCCAGUAGUC